GACAGAGGUCUCGAGCGUUAGGCGGAAUCACUGGGCUUAAAGCGUGUGUAGGUGGAUGCCUAAGUACCUUGUGAAAUCCCACGGCUUAACCGUGGAACUGCUUGGUAUACUGGGUGUCUUGAGCCAGCUAGGGGCUACCGGAACAAAUGGUGGAGCGGUGAAAUGCGUAGAUAUCAUUUGGAACGCCAAUGGUGAAAACAGGUAGCUGGGGCUGUGCUGACACUGAGACACGAAAGCCAGGGGGGCGAACGGG
This 253-nucleotide ribosomal RNA is filed under the name uncultured bacterium. Its description in RNAcentral is "partial 16S ribosomal RNA". It matches the Rfam family "Bacterial small subunit ribosomal RNA", at positions 524 to 776 of the family's 1533-position model. The record is from RNAcentral.